Xiphias gladius (swordfish) is the source of this 929-nucleotide long non-coding RNA. RefSeq lists it as uncharacterized. NCBI's taxonomy places the organism in Eukaryota, Metazoa, Chordata, Actinopteri, Istiophoriformes, Xiphiidae. The transcript has 5 exons. The record is from RefSeq and is a predicted model, not a curated record.
ACCAAGUGUUGACCUGAGUGCUGGCAAAAGAGCCCUUCCAGUAGGGGGCAGUGUGGCCUUGACCCGUUCUGUGAACCCGUCAUCAUCUGGUUGGAAUCACUAUCGGUACAGAGGCAAGAAAAACCUCUGAACCUCUGACGAGACAAGAUGCGGGUUCCCACCCAAGUGGACAAAGUGUCAGUAUCUCACAGGAAGGACUGCACUACUGGUGCAGAGGAGGAAGAGGAAACCCAGUUUACUACACAGAGUACAGUCACUCAGUCAGUAUUCACAAAAUUGAUUUUCAUCCAUCGGCGUCUCUCACAGUGAGUCCUGACAGAGUGCAGCACUUCAAGUCUGACUCCGUCUCACUGAGCUGUGAGGGAAACUCUACUGAGUGGACACUGAUGAGGUUUCCUGAGGGCGACUACUGGUCACACUGCUCUUACUGGGAGAGGAGAAUGACUGGAUCCACGUGCAACAUCCAUAGUCAUAAUCCUGAGCGAGUCACAUCCAAGCCGUGGAAACAUUUCUCGGAAGCACAACGACAGUGUCAGUGCUGGAUGUAGACAUGGGGCACACUUUGUUCUGUGUGCUGUCAUUAUUCUUGCUGAAUACACUCUUCUAUGGAAAGGCUGAAGAUAAAUCCAAACCUGUCCUGACUGUGUCUCCAUUAUGGCCGAGUCCUGGAGCCUCAGUAACUCUGAGCUGCAGGGUUCAAGUCCCAUCUGCAGGGUGGAGGUUCUACUGGUAUAAGGCUGUUCCCAACCAAUCAAAAUACUCCUACAGCUACGAGCUGCUACCUGGUAACACCAACGGGACCGAACAGGAUUCCUACAUCGUCCAUGGGCCGACACACACAGCAGGAUAUGUGUGUAGAGCUGGAAGAGGAGACCCAGUGUAUUACACUCAACGUAGUGAACCAAAGUUUGUCUGGUCUGGAGGUGAGU